AGGGUGGGGCGGCGGGGGU
RNAcentral lists this unclassified non-coding RNA (19 nucleotides) under Chlamydomonas reinhardtii. RNAcentral's name for it is "small RNA Cre_0584". Lineage: Eukaryota; Viridiplantae; Chlorophyta; Chlorophyceae; Chlamydomonadales; Chlamydomonadaceae. The record is from RNAcentral.